RNAcentral lists this ribosomal RNA (253 nucleotides) under uncultured bacterium. RNAcentral's name for it is "partial 16S ribosomal RNA". It matches the Rfam family "Bacterial small subunit ribosomal RNA", at positions 524 to 776 of the family's 1533-position model. The record is from RNAcentral.
UACGGGGUGGGCAAGCGUUGUUCGGAAUUACUGGGCGUAAAGGGCUCGUAGGCGGCCAACUAAGUCAGACGUGAAAUCCCUCGGCUUAACCGGGGAACUGCGUCUGAUACUGGAUGGCUUGAGGUUGGGAGAGGGAUGUGGAAUUCCAGGUGUAGCGGUGAAAUGCGUAGAUACCUGGAGGAACACCGGUGGCGAAGGCGGCAUCCUGGACCAAUUCUGACGCUGAGGAGCGAAAGCCAGGGGAGCAAACGGG